GAUGAACGCUGGCGGCGUGCCUAAUACAUGCAAGUCGAACGAAACUUCUUUAUCACCGAGUGCUUGCACUCACCGAUAAAGAGUUGAGUGGCGAACGGGUGAGUAACACGUGGGCAACCUGCCCAAAAGAGGGGGAUAACACUUGGAAACAGGUGCUAAUACCGCAUAACCAUAGUUACCGCAUGGUAACUAUGUAAAAGGUGGCUAUACUACCGCUUUUGGAUGGGCCCGCGGCGCAUUAGCUAGUUGGUAGGGUAAAGGCUUACCAAGGCAAUGAUGCGUAGCCGAAUUGAGAGGUUGAUCGGCCACAUUGGGACUGAGACACGGCCCAAACUCCUACGGGAGGCAGCAGUAGGGAAUCGGCCACAAUGGGCGAAAGCCUGAUGGAGCAACGCCGCGUGGGUGAAGAAGGUCUUCGGAUCGUAAAACCCUGUUGUUAGAGAAGAAAGUGCGUGAGAGUAACUGUUCACGUUUCGACGGUAUCUAACCAGAAAGCCACGGCUAACUACGUG
RNAcentral lists this ribosomal RNA (512 nucleotides) under uncultured bacterium. RNAcentral describes it as "partial 16S ribosomal RNA". It matches the Rfam family "Bacterial small subunit ribosomal RNA", at positions 28 to 507 of the family's 1533-position model. The record is from RNAcentral.